UCCCUGGUGGUCCAGUGGUUAAGACUUUGUGCUUCCACCACAGGAGGCAGAGGUUCAAUCCUUGCUUGGGGA
RNAcentral lists this transfer RNA (72 nucleotides) under Capra hircus (goat). It matches the Rfam family "tRNA". From Rfam's summary of the family: Transfer RNA (tRNA) molecules are approximately 80 nucleotides in length. The record is from Rfam by way of RNAcentral. RNAcentral also lists the same sequence under 1 other name. Lineage: Eukaryota; Metazoa; Chordata; Mammalia; Artiodactyla; Bovidae.